UAUUAUGAGAGUUUGAUCCUGGCUCAGGACGAACGCUGGCGGCGUGCCUAAUACAUGCAAGUCGAACGCUUCUUUCCUCCCGGGUGCUUGCACUCAAUUGGAAAGAGGAGUGGCGGACGGGUGAGUAACACGUGGGUAACCUACCCAUCAGAGGGGGAUAACACUUGGAAACAGGUGCUAAUACCGCAUAACAGUUUAUGCCGCAUGGCAUAAGAGUGAAAGGCGCUUUCGGGUGUCGCUGAUGGAUGGACCCGCGGUGCAUUAGCU
RNAcentral lists this ribosomal RNA (267 nucleotides) under Enterococcus faecalis. Its description in RNAcentral is "partial 16S ribosomal RNA". It matches the Rfam family "Bacterial small subunit ribosomal RNA", at positions 1 to 246 of the family's 1533-position model. The record is from RNAcentral. Lineage: Bacteria; Bacillati; Bacillota; Bacilli; Lactobacillales; Enterococcaceae.